Molecule: transfer RNA, 57 nt
Filed under: Marmota marmota marmota (Alpine marmot)
Lineage: Eukaryota; Metazoa; Chordata; Mammalia; Rodentia; Sciuridae
Also listed under: 3 other names
Rfam family: tRNA
About the family: Transfer RNA (tRNA) molecules are approximately 80 nucleotides in length. Their secondary structure includes four short double-helical elements and three loops (D, anti-codon, and T loops).
Source: Rfam by way of RNAcentral
UAGUUCAGUGGUAGAACAUUUGUCUAGCAUGCAUGAGGCCCUGGGAUCAAUCCCCAG